AGAGUUUGAUUCUGGCUCAGGAUGAACGCUGGCGGCGUGCAUAACACAUCAAGUCGAACGCUGAAGUCCUUCGGGGACGGAAGAGUGGCGGACGGGUGAGUAACGCGUGAGCAACCUGCCGCAGAGUGGGGGAUAACACAGGGAAACUUGUGCUAAUACCGCAUAACGCAAGAGAGUCACAUGGCCCUUUUGCCAAAGAUUAAUUGGCUCUGCGAUGGGCUCGCGUAUGAUUAGGCAGUUGGCGGGUAACGGCCCACCAAACCGACGAUCAUUAGCCGAACUGAGAGGUUGAACGGCCACAUUGGAACUGAGAAACGGUCCAGACUCCUACGGGAGGCAGCAGUGGGGAAUAUUGGGCAAUGGGCGAAAGCCUGAACCCCAGCGACGCCGCGUGAGGGAAGAAGGUCUUCGGAUUGUAAACCUCUUUCAGCAGGGAAGAAGAAAGUGACGGUACCUGCAGAAGAAGUCACGGCUAACUACGUGCCAGCCGCAGC
RNAcentral lists this ribosomal RNA (494 nucleotides) under uncultured bacterium. RNAcentral's name for it is "bacterial SSU rRNA". It matches the Rfam family "Bacterial small subunit ribosomal RNA", at positions 8 to 518 of the family's 1533-position model. The record is from RNAcentral.